RNAcentral lists this transfer RNA (72 nucleotides) under Kastovskya adunca ATA6-11-RM4. RNAcentral describes it as "tRNA-Val". It matches the Rfam family "tRNA". Rfam says of the family: Transfer RNA (tRNA) molecules are approximately 80 nucleotides in length. Their secondary structure includes four short double-helical elements and three loops (D, anti-codon, and T loops). RNAcentral also lists the same sequence under 1 other name. Lineage: Bacteria; Bacillati; Cyanobacteriota; Cyanophyceae; Coleofasciculales; Coleofasciculaceae. The record is from RNAcentral.
GGGCGGUUAGCUCAGUGGUAGAGCGCCUGCCUUACAAGCAGGACGUCACUGGUUCGAAUCCAGUACUGCCCA